AUGGCGGUCACAGACCAUGCACAUGCACAUGGACGCAGAUGCACGUGCACACACAGAGACACACGGAUGCACACACACACAAAUGAAGAGGCACAUGGAUGCAUGCACACACAUAUGCAGAGGCACACGGAUGCACAUGCAAAUAUGCAGAAGCACAUGGAUGCACACGCAUAUAUGCAGAGGUACAUGGAUGCACACACAUAUGCAGAGGUACAUGGAUGCACAUGCAAAUAUGCAGAAGCACACGGAUGCACACACAUAUAUGCAGAGGUACACGGAUGCACACACACAUGCAGAGGCACAUGGAUACAUGUGCACAGAGACACAUGGAUGUACGUGCACAUGCGGAGGUACACAGAUGCACACACAGAGGCACAAAGAUGCACGCACACACACAGAGGCAUGUGUAUACACAGAUACAUGCACACACGCACGUACACACCUGUGCAUACAGACAUGUGCGCACACAAACAGAUGCAUGCACAGAGAGAGACACACAUGCACACACACAGACACACACAGGUGGCGGCACCUCCAGCCUUGGCUGUGGCAUCACUGUUCUUGAAGGCCUAUGGCUUGGGGGAAGACCGCAGAAGCAUUUGGAGAGAUCUGGCCAUGACUGGGGUGGGUGUGCACAAGGUGCUGGGAAGUGGCAGCUGGUUCAAAGCUGAGAGCGACAAGAACGUCAUGCUUGGGGACACCUGCAAUGAGUCCCGUAUGACCAGAACUUAUAGUACGUUCGAGAAGUCGAGAGAGCUGAGCAUGAAGCACCAGGCAGAGCUCAAGCACAGGCGUGGCUAUCACAUCAACGCGGGACCCACUGCUCCACGCCCGCACGUUGCCCGUUCACUCAUCUGCCAGGUGCCUUCCCAGCCUCAGCAGACAGACAACCCGGGCUCCACCCCGCCCAACCUUCUUCACUGUGUCCCUUCCUCCUCCUCCAGUCUGGCUCCAGGGUUCACAGUCAUCUGUAGGUUAAAACGCUUUAGUUCCCUCGGGUCCUGGCCUCUUUCCUGGACUCCAGGUGUCUCGGGGUAG
Molecule: long non-coding RNA, 1038 nt
Filed under: Macaca fascicularis (crab-eating macaque)
Lineage: Eukaryota; Metazoa; Chordata; Mammalia; Primates; Cercopithecidae
Description: lncRNA (ENSMFAG00000056023.1)
Source: RNAcentral